Molecule: long non-coding RNA, 298 nt
Organism: Lolium rigidum
Lineage: Eukaryota; Viridiplantae; Streptophyta; Magnoliopsida; Poales; Poaceae
Exons: 2
Source: RefSeq, a predicted model, not a curated record
GUCCUUCGAACAACGACAACGGACUCCUGUGAACAGAAGGUUGAUGCUGAUGAAAGAAUUUCGCUGGAGCUGGAUGGAGGAAUGAUAUCAUUAACUAUUUUUAGAAGGAUCAUAAAAAAUUUGUACUCAACCAAAAUAUUCUUCUUGUAGAAUAAUGAGGCAUGUGUUUUAGCUCCGGUCCGUCGAGCAUAUAUUUAAUCGUGUGUUCAUGUAGUCUAUGAUGAGAUGUUUAAGCUCCAUGUAAAUUUAUCUUGCCAACUGAAUUUUUUCAUGGCAUCAUAUUGAUGUUUCUUUGUCU